Prionailurus viverrinus (fishing cat) is the source of this 717-nucleotide long non-coding RNA. RefSeq lists it as uncharacterized. The record is from RefSeq and is a predicted model, not a curated record. The transcript has 5 exons. NCBI's taxonomy places the organism in Eukaryota, Metazoa, Chordata, Mammalia, Carnivora, Felidae.
AGACUUCUAUAGUCUGUACACUAAGCAGUAUGAAGACCCAGUAUCAAAUUAAAAUAAGUGGACAGUCCCAGACUUCAGUGACAAAGCGCCUUGAUUCCAGCAGUGAUUCCCCAGUCUGCUUUCGCUUUGGGUUUCCAUUGUGACCAUUAACUGCUGAAACUGAGCCCAGAGCCCAUGAUCACAAGAUCUGAACGUCGUUGCGAGGGAUCCUAAAGAGGAAGCAAGAGCUGAGAUGCUGGUGAAGCAGGAAUCAUCCUGGAACUGUCAGGAUGGGAGUUGGAACACUAAGGAAGGAACAAACGGGGAAUGCCAAUUCAUCUGGAACUUCAGAGUGUUGAGAGUACUAUCAGGAUGAAAACUGCCACCAGCUGCUGCUAAGAAGCUGUCAUCAGUCAGCAUUUUGGGACUCUUCCAAACCUAACUUGCUGGGCAGUCCAAAGCAAUGGGUGUUCUGUUUAUGUUAUAAUUCUUAAGAGUUGAGAAAGUAGCAAUUAGUGGGAAAACUAUAUAGCUGAUGUUUGUACUGGAAGAAGUCCAGUUGGGUAUCUUGUCUAGAUAACAGUUAACUUUCUUAAUAUUUGAAAGCUCAGUCUUGCUAGAGGUUGUUGUUAGGACCCAAGACCAUCAGUAGAAUUACAGAGUGGUUCCAUCUGCUCUAUUCCCUGUAAAUUCGUCCAGCUUCUUUGAUCUAUUUAAUAUAGCCUUGUGUGAGCUAUA